This 92-nucleotide transfer RNA is filed under the name Verrucomicrobia bacterium GWF2_62_7. RNAcentral's name for it is "tRNA-Ser". It matches the Rfam family "tRNA". From Rfam's summary of the family: Transfer RNA (tRNA) molecules are approximately 80 nucleotides in length. Their secondary structure includes four short double-helical elements and three loops (D, anti-codon, and T loops). RNAcentral also lists the same sequence under 2 other names. Lineage: Bacteria; Pseudomonadati; Verrucomicrobiota. The record is from RNAcentral.
GGAGAGGUGCCUGAGUGGCCGAAAGGGGCGGUUUGCUAAACCGUUGUAGCCGUAAAAAGCUACCCAGGGUUCGAAUCCCUGCCUCUCCGCCA